RNAcentral lists this ribosomal RNA (164 nucleotides) under Waltheria indica (sleepy morning). RNAcentral's name for it is "5.8S ribosomal RNA". It matches the Rfam family "5.8S ribosomal RNA". From Rfam's summary of the family: 5.8S ribosomal RNA (5.8S rRNA) is a component of the large subunit of the eukaryotic ribosome. It is transcribed by RNA polymerase I as part of the 45S precursor that also contains 18S and 28S rRNA. Functionally, it is thought that 5.8S rRNA may be involved in ribosome translocation. Lineage: Eukaryota; Viridiplantae; Streptophyta; Magnoliopsida; Malvales; Malvaceae. The record is from RNAcentral.
AAAACGACUCUCGGCAACGGAUAUCUCGGCUCUCGCAUCGAUGAAGAACGUAGCGAAAUGCGAUACUUGGUGUGAAUUGCAGAAUCCCGUGAACCAUCGAGUCUUUGAACGCAAGUUGCGCCCCAAGCCAUUAGGCCGAGGGCACAUCUGCCUGGGUGUCACGU